RNAcentral lists this unclassified non-coding RNA (306 nucleotides) under plant metagenome. RNAcentral's name for it is "partial contains 5.8S ribosomal RNA, internal transcribed spacer 2, and large subunit ribosomal RNA". The stretch from base 1 to 105 matches the Rfam family "5.8S ribosomal RNA", at positions 50 to 154 of the family's 154-position model. The record is from RNAcentral.
GAAAUGCGAUAAGUAAUGUGAAUUGCAGAAUUCAGUGAAUCAUCGAAUCUUUGAACGCACAUUGCGCCCGCCAGUAUUCUGGCGGGCUUGCCUGUUCGAGCGUCAUUUCAACCAUCAAGCCCCCCGGCUUGUGUUGGGGACCUGCGGCUGCCCGCAGGCCCUGAAAAACAGUGGCGGGCUCGCUGUCACACCGAGCGUAGUAGCAUACAUUCUCGCUCAGGGCGUGCUGCGGGUUCCGGCCGUUAAACGACCUUCAUAACCCAAGGUUGACCUCGGAUCAGGUAGGAAGACCCGCUGAACUUAAGC